Molecule: ribosomal RNA, 373 nt
Filed under: uncultured organism
Description: partial 16S ribosomal RNA
Rfam family: Bacterial small subunit ribosomal RNA
Source: RNAcentral
GUAGGUGGCAAGCGUUGUCCGGAAUUAUUGGGCGUAAAGCGCGCGCAGGCGGUUCUUUAAGUCUGAUGUGAAAGCCCACGGGCUCAACCGUGGAGGGUCAUUGGAAACUGGAGAACUUGAGUACAGAAGAGGAAAGCGGAAUUCCACGUGUAGCGGUGAAAUGCGUAGAGAUGUGGAGGAACACCAGUGGCGAAGGCGGCUUUCUGGUCUGUAACUGACGCUGAGGCGCGAAAGCGUGGGGAGCAAACAGGAUUAGAUACCCUGGUAGUCCACGCCGUAAACGAUGAGUGCUAAGUGUUAGGGGGUUUCCGCCCCUUAGUGCUGCAGCUAACGCAUUAAGCACUCCGCCCGGGGAGUACGGCCGCAAAGGCUG